RNAcentral lists this ribosomal RNA (459 nucleotides) under uncultured bacterium. RNAcentral describes it as "partial 16S ribosomal RNA". It matches the Rfam family "Bacterial small subunit ribosomal RNA", at positions 338 to 795 of the family's 1533-position model. The record is from RNAcentral.
CCUACGGAGGGCAGCAGUGAGGAAUAUUGGUCAAUGGGCGGAAGUCUGAACCAGCCAAGUAGCGUGCGGGAUGAAGGCCCUACGGGUCGUAAACAGCUUUUGCACGGGGAUAACACCCUCCACUUGUGGAGGUCUGCAGGUACCGUGCGAAUAAGGGCCGGCUAAUUCCGUGCCAGCAGCCGCGGUAGUACGGAGGUCCCGAGCGUUAUCCGGAUUCAUUGGGCUUAAAGGGAGCGUAGGCGGUCGUUCAAUUCAGAGGUAAAAUCGCGCGGAUCAAGCGGGCACCGCAGUUGAAACUGGACGCCUUGAGUGCACAACAGGCAGGCGGCAUUCGUGGGGUAGCGGUGAAAUGCAUAGAUAUCACGAGGAACCCCGAUUGCGAAGGCAGCCUGCCGGGGUGCGACUGACGCUGAGGCUCGAAGGUGCGGGUAUCAAACAGGAUUAGAUACACCGGUAGUC